AGUGAUGUAGCUUAGUUGGUAGAGUGUCUGUCUAGCAUACACAAGGACCUGGGUUCAAUCCCCAUCACAA
This 70-nucleotide transfer RNA is filed under the name Neotoma lepida (desert woodrat). It matches the Rfam family "tRNA". Rfam says of the family: Transfer RNA (tRNA) molecules are approximately 80 nucleotides in length. Their secondary structure includes four short double-helical elements and three loops (D, anti-codon, and T loops). The record is from Rfam by way of RNAcentral. Lineage: Eukaryota; Metazoa; Chordata; Mammalia; Rodentia; Cricetidae.